GGAUGUGAGGGUGAUCUGGCUGCGACUUCUGUCACCCCAUUGAUCACCAGAGUUGAUUCGGCUGAUAUGGCUGGCUAAGUGGGUGUCCCCUUCCUCCCUCAAUGAUCCAUGUGUGUCCCUUUCGAAGCUGUGCGCUUGGUUGAAGAGGAUAACCACCCCUGAUAGAAAAGGACCAUUCCUCAGUCAAGGGUAUAUGAGUAGUUGCGCUCCCUUGCUAGAACCUCCAAACAAGCUCUCUAAGGCCAGGAAAGUGAUGUGAAAUAACUUGUUUAUGCUUUUAUGGCUGUUUAUCUCUGGAAAGGCCCCAAAAG
This 311-nucleotide small nuclear RNA is filed under the name Octodon degus (degu). RNAcentral's name for it is "7SK RNA (ENSODEG00000023792.1)". It matches the Rfam family "7SK RNA". From Rfam's summary of the family: 7SK was discovered as an abundant small nuclear RNA in the mid-70s but a possible function has only recently been suggested. Two independent studies have found that 7SK RNA binds the CDK9/cyclin T complex (known as elongation factor P-TEFb). The record is from Rfam by way of RNAcentral. Lineage: Eukaryota; Metazoa; Chordata; Mammalia; Rodentia; Octodontidae.